Molecule: ribosomal RNA, 391 nt
Filed under: Peronosporales sp.
Lineage: Eukaryota; Oomycota; Peronosporomycetes; Peronosporales
Description: partial small subunit ribosomal RNA
Rfam family: Eukaryotic small subunit ribosomal RNA
Source: RNAcentral
AUUCCAGCUCCAAUAGCGAAUAUUAAAGUUGUUGCAGUUAAAAAGCUCGUAGUUGGAUUUGUUGUAAGAGUGAAGUGACUGGCACAAUGUCAGUCUUUUUCAUUCCACAUUCUUUGUGUUGGCUUUGGGAUGGCAUUCAGUUGCUGCCUCGAAUACACGCAUCUUUUACUGUGAAAAAAUUAGAGUGCUUAAAGCAGACGUUAUUGUCGUUGAAUACAUUAGCAUGGAAUAAUAAUAUAUGACUCGAUUGGUCUAUUUUGUUGGUUUGCACAUUUGAGUAAUGAUUAAUAGGGACAGUUGGGGAUAUUCAUAUUUGAGCGUCAGAGGUGAAAUUCUUGGAUCGCUGAAAGAUGAGCUAAGGCGAAAGCAUUUAUCAAGGAUGUUUUCAUCA